This is a non-coding RNA of Carassius gibelio (silver crucian carp), 330 nucleotides long. NCBI's taxonomy places the organism in Eukaryota, Metazoa, Chordata, Actinopteri, Cypriniformes, Cyprinidae. The record is from the annotation of a RefSeq genome assembly.
AUGAAGCACUGUGCUGGUCCCGCAGUGAAGCCCUCCGUGUCUCUGCUGCCUCCCUCUUCUCUGCAGAUCUCUGGAGACUCAGCCGCACUGCUCUGUCUGCUCAGCUCUUACUCUCCACAGGGGGCGCAGGUGAGCUGGACACUGGACGGGUCAGAGGUCACCGAGGGGGUUCAGACCAGCGCAGAGAGCGAGCGGGACGGACGCUACAGCCGCAGCAGCGUCCUGAGCCUCAGCAAAGCACGCUGGGAAGCCGGCGAGCGCUUCGUCUGCAGAGUAACACAUGACGGAGCUGAUCACGAGACCUCGUUCCUCAAGAGCUCCGAGUGCUGA